AUACGUAGGUGACAAGCGUUAUCCGGAUUUACUGGGCGUAAAGGGCGUGUAGGCGGUCUUGCAAGUCAGAAGUGAAAUUCCUGAGCUCAACUCGGGCGCUGCUUCUGAAACUGUAUCCCUUGAGUAUCGGAGAGGCAGGGGGAACUCCUUGGGUAGCGGGGAAACGCGUAGAUAUUAGGAGGAACACCAGUGGCGAAGGCGGCCUGCUGGACGACAACUGACGCUGAGGCGCGAAAGCGUGGGGAGCAAACAGGAUUAGAUACCCUGGUAGUCCACGCUGUAAACGAUGAAUACUAGGUGUGGGAGGACUGACCCCUUCCGUGCCGCAGUUAACACAAUAAGUAUUCCACCUGGGGAGUACGAUCGCAAGAUUGAAACUCAAAGGAAUUGACGGGG
This 396-nucleotide ribosomal RNA is filed under the name uncultured bacterium. Its description in RNAcentral is "partial 16S ribosomal RNA". It matches the Rfam family "Bacterial small subunit ribosomal RNA", at positions 523 to 918 of the family's 1533-position model. The record is from RNAcentral.